Molecule: transfer RNA, 68 nt
Filed under: Trioceros wiedersheimi
Lineage: Eukaryota; Metazoa; Chordata; Lepidosauria; Squamata; Chamaeleonidae
Description: tRNA-Tyr
Source: RNAcentral
UGGGGAGGGGGGGAGUUGAACCCCCAUAAAUAAGUUUACAGCUUACCGCCUGGCUCGGCCACCUAACC